AAAAAAACCCCAACUCAACAAUAAAAAUCUUAAAAAUAAUAUAGACGUGACAUAUAUAUUAUUUUAACCCUUUGGAUGCAUUUUGUUCUUUUUUGUAAAAGCAUGGAGAGGCCUGACUCUUAAAAAAAUGGAUCAAACGACUACAAAAGCAAAAGGUUACUUGCACACUGAUUUUAUAGCUUGUAGCACCUUUAGUUGCAAUAACUAACUAAAUAAAUAAAGUAAUAAAGUAACAGUUUUCUUUUUGACUUAAACAGUCUGUCACAUCAUUGUGGGCCAAUUCUAGACCCCUCUUUUUUUUUACAAAGUUUGUUCAGGAUAUUGAGAUUUGGAAGCAUUCAUGUAUGCACAGCUCUCUUAAGGUCCUACCACAGCAUGCCUGCACUUUGACUGACCCAUUGUGACACCUUAAUUGUUUUUUUUUUUUUUUAUCAGCCAUUCUGUUAUAAUUUUGCUGCUGUGCUUGGGAUCAUUGCCCUUUUUUAUGCCUGAAUUUGGACUAAGCUUUAGCUGUCCAAAGACAGAUGGUCUCACAUUUAAGUCCAUACAGAGAAGUUCAUGGUCGUCUUAAUGACUGCAAGGUGCCGAAUUCCUGUGGCUGCAAAACGAACCCAAAUCAUCACUUGGCCACCACUGUGAUGCGUUUGAUAUUAAGUGUUCGUGUUGAUAUGCUUUGUUUGCUUUUGUGCAUUAGGGAUUAUGCCAAACAUCUCCAUCCAUUAGGUUUACAACACCAGAAGUGUUUUUUUUAGAGAGAAGACACUUUCUCCUGGAAACCCUACUAAACAAUUCACACUUGUUUAAUUUUUUUCUAAUCGUGUUAUCAUGAACUUUAACAUUUAACAUGCUAACUGAGGCCUGUAGAGUCUGUAUUUCUUGUGUUUGUUGUAGUUUCUUUAAGAGUUGUGUGGUCUGACCUUAGGAUGAAUUUGCUGAGAAGACUGUCUUUGAGUUGACAAAAACGGAAUGCUCCAGACCAGCAAACAAUUUUUGAGAUACUUACCUUUGUAAUUCCUACAAGAGCAGUAAGUUUACUGCAUAGAGAACUGUAAAAACUCUUUUUCACAUGCUUGUUAAUGUUCAAGUCAUGCUUAUGGCAAGAACAUCAGACUCUAAUUUCUGUCAAGCCUUCAUAAUGUAAAUUCAUAACUUUUACUAUGUUUUAUUGGUGUUUCU
Molecule: long non-coding RNA, 1176 nt
Organism: Astatotilapia calliptera (eastern happy)
Lineage: Eukaryota; Metazoa; Chordata; Actinopteri; Cichliformes; Cichlidae
Source: Ensembl